AAUUUAUUUUUUAUUUAUAAAUAAGAUCUCGAGUCGACCGUAAGCGUGGCGGCGGCGCCGGUUGAAUUCGCGAACGGGUUGCUGAAUUCAGAAUUGUAUGCCCGGGCGGCUG
RNAcentral lists this ribosomal RNA (112 nucleotides) under Exanthemachrysis gayraliae. RNAcentral describes it as "partial Eukaryotic large subunit ribosomal RNA". The record is from RNAcentral. Lineage: Eukaryota; Haptophyta; Pavlovophyceae; Pavlovales; Pavlovaceae.